CUGGAGGUAUCAGAAGUGCGAAUGCUGACAUAAGUAACGAUAAAGCGGGUGAAAAGCCCGCUCGCCGGAAGACCAAGGGUUCCUGUCCAACGUUAAUCGGGGCAGGGUGAGUCGACCCCUAAGGCGAGGCCGAAAGGCGUAGUCGAUGGGAAACGGGUUAAUAUUCCCGUACUUGGUGUUACUGCGAAGGGGGGACGGAGAAGGCUAUGUUGGCCGGGCGACGGUUGUCCCGGUUUAAGCGUGUAGGUGUGUGUUCCAGGUAAAUCCGGUUCACUUUAACACUGAGGCGUGACGACGAGGCACUACGGUGCUGAAGCAACAAAUGCCCUGCUUCCAGGAAAAGCCUCUAAGCAUCAGGUAACAUCAAAUCGUACCCCAAACCGACACAGGUGGUCAGGUAGAGAAUACCAAGGCGCUUGAGAGAACUCGGGUGAAGGAACUAGGCAAAAUGGUGCCGUAACUUCGGGAGAAGGCACGCUGACACGUAGGUGAAGUGAUUUACUCACGGAGCUGAAGUCAGUCGAAGAUACCAGCUGGCUGCAACUGUUUAUUAAAAACACAGCACUGUGCAAACACGAAAGUGGACGUAUACGGUGUGACGCCUGCCCGGUGCCGGAAGGUUAAUUGAUGGGGUCAGCGCAAGCGAAGCUCCUGAUCGAAGCCCCGGUAAACGGCGGCCGUAACUAUAACGGUCCUAAGGUAGCGAAAUUCCUUGUCGGGUAAGUUCCGACCUGCACGAAUGGCGUAAUGAUGGCCAGGCUGUCUCCACCCGAGACUCAGUGAAAUUGAACUCGCUGUGAAGAUGCAGUGUACCCGCGGCAAGACGGAAAGACCCCGUGAACCUUUACUAUAGCUUGACACUGAACAUUGAGCCUUGAUGUGUAGGAUAGGUGGGAGGCUUUGAAGUGUGGACGCCAGUCUGCAUGGAGCCGACCUUGAAAUACCACCCUUUAAUGUUUGAUGUUCUAACGUGGACCCGUAAUCCGGGUUGCGGACAGUGUCUGGUGGGUAGUUUGACUGGGGCGGUCUCCUCCUAAAGAGUAACGGAGGAGCACGAAGGUUGGCUAAUCCUGGUCGGACAUCAGGAGGUUAGUGCAAUGGCAUAAGCCAGCUUGACUGCGAGCGUGACGGCGCGAGCAGGUGCGAAAGCAGGUCAUAGUGAUCCGGUGGUUCUGAAUGGAAGGGCCAUCGCUCAACGGAUAAAAGGUACUCCGGGGAUAACAGGCUGAUACCGCCCAAGAGUUCAUAUCGACGGCGGUGUUUGGCACCUCGAUGUCGGCUCAUCACAUCCUGGGGCUGAAGUAGGUCCCAAGGGUAUGGCUGUUCGCCAUUUAAAGUGGUACGCGAGCUGGGUUUAGAACGUCGUGAGACAGUUCGGUCCCUAUCUGCCGUGGGCGCUGGAGAACUGAGGGGGGCUGCUCCUAGUACGAGAGGACCGGAGUGGACGCAUCACUGGUGUUCGGGUUGUCAUGCCAAUGGCACUGCCCGGUAGCUAAAUGCGGAAGAGAUAAGUGCUGAAAGCAUCUAAGCACGAAACUUGCCCCGA
Molecule: ribosomal RNA, 1546 nt
Filed under: Salmonella enterica subsp. enterica serovar Newport
Lineage: Bacteria; Pseudomonadati; Pseudomonadota; Gammaproteobacteria; Enterobacterales; Enterobacteriaceae
Also listed under: 1 other name
Description: partial 23S ribosomal RNA
Rfam family: Bacterial large subunit ribosomal RNA
Source: RNAcentral